GAAAGAGGAAGUAACUUGUGGAAUGCUAAGAAAGCCUUGCUUUGGUAUCGGCACAUUUAAAGAAGUGGUUACCUCUUUCAGAAUUAAUGGAUUGGCUUCAGUUGGGAAAGCUGCGCUCACCUGUUGGUGAGCAUGAGGACAUCAACUGGAUGAAGUAUAUGGCUGAACCAAGUCUGAGGACAGGAGGGAAACAGACAACUGUUGCAUUCCUGUCCACAGAGCCUCUCCCUGAAGAAGACUCAAUUAUGCGGCCAGCAUCCUAACCCUGGGCUGUAGUCACUUUCGAUCUCAUGAUUUUUCAUCACUUUUACCCAUGCCUGGUGACUGAACCAUCUAGAAACAAGCUUUGGGCAUUUGCCAUUGUAUAGGAAACAUAGCCAUAUCUACCCAGUUGGCAGAAGUAUCCCAUGACUAUCCCAGGAUGAGAGGGACCCUGGAAAUUCAUAGACUCUGAGACUGAUUAGGAAGCUAGGGUUGUGGAUGUCAUUGUUAUAAGCCAAAAGGAGAAAUAACCGUAUCUUAUGCAAAUCUAUCUCUUCUCUAUAAAAUCAACUCUACAGAAAUGCAUAGGCAACUAUAAUUGAGACCCAGAAAGUUGAAGAAAUAUUUUAACGGAAGCAGAAGGUAAGUAGGUGUUCCAUAUAAAAAAGAGAAACCCAGAUUAUUACUAUCAGAUACUUAAGUGUCCUGAGGAUGCUGAGCUGUGCCUCCUGUGUGGAGGCACACAGGAUUCCUCCCAAAAAUAAAAAGGGUCACCCUGAUCAGUAAACAUUGGUAACUGGUUCCUCAUCUUCCUGGGUAGUGGUAGAGGGAGUGGGAGAGGUGGUGAGAAGGCAGCUAGAAAGCCAAGGAGCUGAAAUUUUGGGCAGAAUUUUUGACAGUUUCUGUGUAAGGAGGCUUCAAAGUUGGAGACCAGGCCUGCUAAGGAUAGGGGCACACUAGUAAAUCCCCAAUAUUUAACAGUGGAAGCCAAGAGGGCUAUACCAUACCAAGAGAAAGGUGGAUUUAAAAUAGGCCAUUAACAUUUCCCAUGGUGGAAGCCCUGUUUCACAUCUUAAUCUCUGAAAUUGGGUUAAAGUGAUCCAGGAUUGCUAAUGCUCCAGUCACCUACCAGAAGCAAAUGUAAAUCGCCUCUGAAGGAAGGCAGCAUAAUCUCAGACCUCAACUUAUUUUAAAAUUUUUUCUUAUACAACCAUCCAGCACUCCAUUAAAAAAAACCCAAACUUAAACACAGAACAAAAAAAAACCCCACCCAAAACACGAGAAAUAAUUGACACCAAAAACAGACUCACAGAGGAUCCAGGUCAUGAAGUUAUACACAUUUUAAAAUUUGUAAGCACACUAUGCCUUAAUGUGUUAAAGAAAAUAGAAGGCAAAAUGAGAAUUCAGCAGGAAAUUGAAAUCUUUCAGAAAGUAUCAUAUGGGAAUUUUAGAACAGAAAAGCACAAUAACUCAAUUAAAAACUCAGUGGGUAAGUUUCAGCAGAUUAGACAGAGAGAAUUACUGAACUGGAAGAUAGGUUAGGAGAAAAUAUAUAGAAUAAUUAGACUAAUAGCUGACUUUUUAACAGAAGCAAUGGAAGCAAGAAGACAGUGAAAUUACAUGGUUCAAGUACUGAAAGCAAUAAAUAAUAACUAAUGACCUACCUGUUGAAACCAUUCUUCAAUAAUUAGGGUGAAAUACAGA
This 1686-nucleotide long non-coding RNA is filed under the name Homo sapiens (human). RNAcentral describes it as "HSALNT0311811". Lineage: Eukaryota; Metazoa; Chordata; Mammalia; Primates; Hominidae. The record is from RNAcentral.